This 253-nucleotide ribosomal RNA is filed under the name uncultured bacterium. Its description in RNAcentral is "partial 16S ribosomal RNA". It matches the Rfam family "Bacterial small subunit ribosomal RNA", at positions 524 to 776 of the family's 1533-position model. The record is from RNAcentral.
UACGUAGGGGGCAAGCGUUGUCCGGAUUUAUUGGGCGUAAAGAGCGUGUAGGCGGUUUGGUAGGUCCGCUGUGAAAGCUCGAGGCUCAACCUCGAGACGCCGGUGGAAACCAUCAGACUAGAGUCCGGAAGAGGAGAGUGGAAUUCCUGGUGUAGCGGUGAAAUGCGCAGAUAUCAGGAAGAACACCCGUGGCUAAGGCGGCUCUCUAGUACGGUACUGACGCUGAGACGCGAAAGCGUGGGGAGCAAACGGG